UUUUUUAGGGGGGUGGGUGCUGUCUGGCUAGAUCACGCUGGCGGCGCGCUUAACACAUGCAAGUCGAACGAGAAAGUGGAGCAAUCCAUGAGUAAAGUGGCGUACGGGUGAGUAACACGUGGGUAAUCUACCUCUUAGUGGGGAAUAACGCUGGGAAACCGGCGCUAAUACCGCAUAAGCCUGAGAAGGGAAAGCAGCAAUGCGCUGAGAGAGGAGCCCGCGGCCGAUUAGCUAGUUGGCAGGGUAAGAGCCUACCAAGGCAUAGAUCGGUAGCCGGCCUGAGAGGGCACACGGCCACACUGGCACUGAAACACGGGCCAGACUCCUACGGGAGGCAGCAGUGGGGAAUCUUGCACAAUGGGGGCAACCCUGAUGCAGCGACGCCGCGUGAACGAUGAAGCCCUUCGGGGUGUAAAGUUCUUUCGGCAGGGAAGAUAGUGACGGUACCUGCAGAAGCAGCUGCGGCUAACUACGUGCCAGCAGCCGCGGUAAUACGUAGGCAGCGAGCGUUGUUCGGAGUUACUGGGCGUAAAGGGUGUGUAGGCGGUGCUUUAAGUUUGGUGUGAAAUCUCCCGGCUCAACUGGGAGGGUGCGCCGAAUACUGAAGUGCUAGAGUAUGGGAGAGGGAAGUGGAAUUCCUGGUGUAGCGGUGAAAUGCGUAGAUAUCAGGAGGAACACCUGUGGUGUAGACGGCUUCCUAGACCAUAACUGACGCUGAGACACGAAAGCGUGGGUAGCAAACAGGAUUAGAUACCCUGGUAGUCCACGCCCUAAACGAUGCAUAUUGGUGUGAGCCAUUCAUUUGGUCGUGCUGAGCUACGCGUUAAUAUGCCGCUGGGGAGUACAGUCGCAAGGCUGAAACUCAAGGAAUUGACGGGGCCCGCACAAGCCGUGGAGCA
RNAcentral lists this ribosomal RNA (899 nucleotides) under uncultured soil bacterium. RNAcentral's name for it is "SSU rRNA". It matches the Rfam family "Bacterial small subunit ribosomal RNA", at positions 1 to 939 of the family's 1533-position model. The record is from RNAcentral.